Molecule: ribosomal RNA, 1306 nt
Filed under: uncultured bacterium
Lineage: Bacteria
Description: bacterial SSU rRNA
Rfam family: Bacterial small subunit ribosomal RNA
Source: RNAcentral
AACGUACGCUGGCGGCACGCCUAACACAUGCAAGUCGAACGAAGUAGCAAUACUUAGUGGCAGACGGGUGAGUAACAUGUAGGUAUCUGCCCUUUGGCCUGGAAUAACACGAGGAAACUUGUGCUAAUACCGGAUAAGUCUUUACGGAGAAAGCUUUAUGCACCAUUGGAUGAGCCUGCACUUGAUUAGUUUGUUGGUGGGGUAAUGGCCUACCAAGACUGUGAUCAAUAGCUGAUUUGAGAGGAUGAUCAGCCACAUUGGGACUGAGACACGGCCCAAACUCCUACGGGAGGCAGCAGUGGGGAAUCUUGCACAAUGGAGGAAACUCUGAUGCAGCGAUGCCGCGUGAGUGAAGAAGGCCCUUGGGUUGUAAAGCUCUUUCGUCGGGGAAGAAAAUGACUGUACCCGAAUAAGAAGGUCCGGCUAACUUCGUGCCAGCAGCCGCGGUAAUACGAAGGGACCUAGCGUAGUUCGGAAUUACUGGGCUUAAAGAGUUCGUAGGUGGUUGAAAAAGUUAGUGGUGAAAUCCCAGAGCUUAACUCUGGAACUGCCAUUAAAACUUUUCAGCUAGAGUAUGAUAGAGGAAAGCAGAAUUUCUAGUGUAGAGGUGAAAUUCGUAGAUAUUAGAAAGAAUACCAAUUGCGAAGGCAGCUUUCUGGAUCAUUACUGACACUGAGGAACGAAAGCAUGGGUAGCGAAGAGGAUUAGAUACCCUCGUAGUCCAUGCCGUAAACGAUGUGUGUUAGACGUUGGAAAUUUAUUUUCAGUGUCGCAGGGAAACCGAUAAACACACCGCCUGGGGAGUACGACCGCAAGGUUAAAACUCAAAUGAAUUGACGGGGACCCGCACAAGUAGUGGAGCAUGUGGUUUAAUUCGAAGAUACGCGCAGAACCUUACCAACACUUGACAUGUUCGUCGCGACUCUAAGAGAUUAGAGUUUUCGGUUCGGCCGGACGAAACACAGGUGCUGCAUGGCUGUCGUCAGCUCGUGUCGUGAGAUGUUGGGUUAAGUCCCGCAACGAGCGCAACCCUCACUUUUAGUUGCCAUCAUUAAGUUGGGCACUCUGAAAGAACUGCCAGUGAUAAGCCGGAGGAAGGUGGGGAUGACGUCAAGUCCUCAUGGCCCUUACGUGUUGGGCUACACACGUGCUACAAUGGUAUCUACAACAGGAAGCAAGACUGCGAAGUUAAGCAAAUCCUUAAAAGAUACCUCAGUUCGGAUUGCACUCUGCAACUCGAGUGCAUGAAGCUGGAAUUACUAGUAAUCGUGGAUCAGCGUGCCACGGUGAAUGCGUUCCCGGGUCU